AUUCCGGUUGAUCCUGCGGGAGGCUGCUGCUAUUAGAAUUCGAUUUAGCCAUGCAAGUCUGAUGUUUAUUCAUCGGCAGAAUGCUCAGUAACACGUCGAUAAUCUGCCCUAUGGUCGUUGAUAACUUCGGGAAACUGAAGGUAAACAACGAUAGGAAAAUUCGCCUGGAAUGGUUUUUUUCCCAAACUCGUGCCAUAGGAUGAGUCGGCGGUUGAUUAGGUAGUUGGUGGUGUAAUGGACCACCAAGCCAAUGAUCAAUACGGGCCUUGAGAGAGGUAGCCCGGAGAGGGACACUGAGAAACUGGUCCCAGCCCUACGGGGUGCAGCAGGCGCGAAACCUUUACAAUGCACGAAAGUGUGAUAAGGGAAUCCCAAGUGCUCAUGCAAUGCAUGGGCUUUUGCCAAGAGUAAAUACCUUGGCGAAUAAGUGGUGGGUAAGACCGGUGCCAGCAGCCGCGGUAACACCGGCGCCACGAGUGGCAACCGCUUUUAUUGGGCCUAAAGCGUCCGUAGCUGGUUAAGUAAAUUUUUUGUGAAAUUGUCGGGCUUAACCUGACAGCGUGCAGAAAAGACUGCUUGACUAGGGACCGGGAGGAGUUAGAGGUAUUCUGGGGGGAGCGGUAAAAUGUUAUAAUCCCUAGAGGACCACCUGUGGCGAAGGCGUCUAACUAGAACGGAUUCGACAGUGAGGGACGAAGGCCAGGGGAGCAAAACGGAUUAGAUACCCGAGUAGUCCUGGCAGUAAACUCUGUGAGCUAGGUGUUACAUGUCCUUUGAGGGCAUGUGGUGUCGUAGCGAAGGCGUUAAGCUCACCGCCUGGGAAGUACGGUCGCAAGACUGAAACUUAAAGGAAUUGGCGGGGGAGCACUACAAGGGGUGCGGCGUGCGGUUUAAUUUGAUUCAACGCAGAAAACCUCACCAGCAGCGACGGCAGGAUGAAAGUCAGUCUGAAGGGCUUACUUGACGAGCCGAGAGGUAGUGCAUGGCCGCCGUCAGCUCGUGCCGUAAGGUGUCCAGUUAAGUCUGGCAACGAGCGAGACCUAUACCUGCUAUUGCUAACGGCCAUUUAUAGGACCGAGCACUUUGCAGGGACUGCCUUGGAAACAAGGAGGAAGGUGUAGGCAACGGUAGGUCUGUAUGCUCCGAAUCUUCUGGGCUACACGCGCGCAACAAUGGUAAUGACAAUGGGCUGCAACUCCGAAAGGAGAAGCUAAUCCUCGAAACAUUGCUUUAGUUCGGAUUGCGGAUUGUAACUCGCCCGCAUGACGCCGGAAUCCCUAGUAAUCAGACGUCAUCAUCGUCCGGUGAAUAUGUCCCUGCUCCUUGCACUCACCGCC
RNAcentral lists this ribosomal RNA (1337 nucleotides) under uncultured prokaryote. RNAcentral's name for it is "partial 16S ribosomal RNA". It matches the Rfam family "Archaeal small subunit ribosomal RNA". The record is from RNAcentral.